This 22-nucleotide microRNA is filed under the name Caenorhabditis elegans. RNAcentral's name for it is "Cel-Mir-2221_5p* (star (passenger))". Lineage: Eukaryota; Metazoa; Nematoda; Chromadorea; Rhabditida; Rhabditidae. The record is from RNAcentral.
UGGCGGUUUGCAUUCACUUACA